RNAcentral lists this ribosomal RNA (486 nucleotides) under uncultured bacterium. Its description in RNAcentral is "partial 16S ribosomal RNA". It matches the Rfam family "Bacterial small subunit ribosomal RNA", at positions 30 to 507 of the family's 1533-position model. The record is from RNAcentral.
AUUGAACGCUGGCGGCAUGCCUUACACAUGCAAGUCGAACGGCAGCACGGGUGCUUGCACCUGGUGGCGAGUGGCGAACGGGUGAGUAAUACAUCGGAACAUGUCCUGUAGUGGGGGAUAGCCCGGCGAAAGCCGGAUUAAUACCGCAUACGAUCCACGGAUGAAAGAGGGGGGCCUUCGGGCCUCGCGCUAUAGGGUUGGCCGAUGGCUGAUUAGCUAGUUGGUGGGGUAAAGGCCUACCAAGGCGACGAUCAGUAGCUGGUCUGAGAGGACGACCAGCCACACUGGGACUGAGACACGGCCCCGACUCCUACGGGAGGCAGCAGUGGGGAAUUUUGGACAAUGGGCGAAAGCCUGAUCCAGCAAUGCCGCGUGUGUGAAGAAGGCCUUCGGGUUGUAAAGCACUUUUGUCCGGAAAGAAAUCCUUGGCUCUAAUACAGUCGGGGGAUGACGGUACCGGAAGAAUAAGCACCGGCUAACUACGUG